CAUGUGUGGGAAUUGGUUUGAAUGAGGUUCUAGGGUAGCAGUCUGCUAAUCGCGUGACCCUUUCGUGUUAAAGCCUUCAUUCCUCUUCCCUGGUAAGUAACUUAAUGAAAAAGCCAGACUGGCAUGUAGGCAGCCGGUGCUUUAAAAACAAUCCCUUUGUAGCAUUUUUGCAGUACUUUUCAUCCAGCGAAUACAGGUAAGGAGUGCAAACAUUUAGGUCAACGUCCCCAAAACAAGGAAGAAGAGUGAUCUCACUUUACAGCCAAGUAAGCCGAAGCAACAAGAAUUGCUUGCCUGAAGUUGAACUUAGAUAAUUAAGGAACGCAGAAGUUCUUUGGAAAUUUAAAAUUCAGACGGAGGAACUUCAAGCAUGGGUGGAGACAGAGCACCCCUUCCCCACCUGACCUUUUACCAAUGUAGAGGAAAAGAUUUAUUUUCUGAACACAUGAGUUAAAAAAUUCUUAACAUACAAUGUGUUCAGCGUUGUCAAGUUUAUCGUUGUUGAAUAAAAGGAGUAUGUUUUCUGCUGUAAAAAUGGUUUGAUGGUACGUUCAUGAAUGAGUUACCAAAGCGCUCCUGUUCCAUUCUGUAAGAAAAGGGUGAACUUUAAAUUUUCGUUUUUUUCUUUUCGUUUGCUUUUAUGUCGUUUGCUUGGUUCUAUUCUGGGGAGGUAAGUUUUAAAAUCUUUGAUUGAAAGUUUAUGCAAGUUUUUUUUUUAACGGAAAAUUUACCCGUCCUUUCCUGCUGUCAUUCCUAUUUGAAUGUAUACACUUAGGCUUUUAUGGAACAGCACUUCUGAAAGCUUCAACCGUUUCUUUUAUCCUGGAAAGGAUUUGGUCCCGUAAUAGGGAUUUGGGGGACUGUAUUCUGAUGGUUUCAGAGAGGAGAAACAUAUUUACUAGUCAUAAUGUUUCGGGAAUGUACCUUUUGCGAUAUUUUUACAUGUACUCUUGUGAAAAAGUUGUGCUCAGUUUGAGGUGAGAACUUGCCUUUCGUAAUAAUCUAAUUAAAAUUAUUGAUUGCUUGUGAAAUCAGGGAAAAAAUGGUUAAUUUUAAUCAUUUUGAUAGGCAGGUGGUUGUCUGUCACUUAAUUUUUAUAAUUUAACUUUUUAAAAUGUGACUUUCCUGUUGUACUGAAGUAGAGAACACAUCUGCUUAUAUUGACCAUAUCCAAUUUACUGUCAAUAUUGACAAAAGGAUUAAAUGAUUCAUUUUUAAUUCUUUAUGACGUCUUGAAAGUAGUUCUAAAAUAUAUCCUGCCAUUUCAGUACAUAAGGAGAAAAAUCCCUAGGAAAAAGCAUAUUUGAUUCUUAAAACUAGUACUAGUUUUUUUUUUCUACUUGUUUGAUGUGCUGAAUACUCUAGCAAGUAAAAUGAAAGCCAAGUUGUCUAUUUUUUCCCUUGUGUAUUUAUUUUUACUUUGUAUGUGUGAUUGCUGUCAUAAGUCUUUCACAAGAUUAUCCAGCACAGAUAGCUAUAAUUUCUUUUUACAACUCAUGAAAAGGAAAAAGUACCUUUUAUCAACAUUGCCUUUCUAAUGAAAAUUGCAAAAGAUUUCAACAGGGUCUGCCUAAACAUUUGUUUACACUACAGAAGUGGGGAUCGUUCCAAAAACCUAAUAACACAUUACAGUCUGUCUUCUUGGGGAGAGUUGAUUCUUUUCUAGGGUAUAUUUAGAUUUCUGAUUGACAUGAUGGAAUAGAAGUGCAGCUGUAGCAAGCAGUAUGCUAAAUAAUUCAACUAUGGAAUGUGCUAAAUUCAGUUUAAUGUGUGAGUCAGAAAGCUAUAGUGAAAAAGCAUUUCCAUUGUGUAAUGAAGAUGAUUUAUUUGUUUUUAAAAAUCAUAUAUUGACGUGUUACCUUAAAUUUAAAAAUUUACCUUUUUUUCUUGUAUUAUGCUGUUCUUAAAAGUGGAUAAGAAUCUACAUUUUCGCCCAAGAAUUCUCCCUAAUUGGGGUCGUAGACUUUAUACAUUUAUAAUCUCAUAUUGCUUAAUUAUUCCAAAGAAGUUUUGUUUUGAGAGAUUACAUUUUUAAAGAAAUUCUUAAGGUUUAUGUGUUUUAGGUGUUUGAAGUGUGUUUCUAUACACUAAUCAUAAUAGAUAGGACAUUUUUAUACUUUUCUGUCAGCAUUGAUUAGGAAUGUAGAAUAUAUCCAAAUGGAAUAAGUAAUGUACAUUUUAAAGUGGUAUGAUUCUCACAUGUUGAAGUUUGGGUUUUUAGUGAUAAGUGUAAUGAAUUAGACUUUGCUUCAGGACAUUUCACUUGUUCAUUUCCCACCUUUAUCUUGUCUGAGCAAAUUCAGCAUUCUGAGAUAGUUCUGUAAAAUGCAUGUUAAAGUUGAACUAAUGUUAUCAUCAGUAAAUCUAUGAAAUAACUUAUCUAAAUUUUUUUUUCUGUUUUGCUUAUUUUGAGUUUAAGAAAGUAGACUUGGUAUUGAAGACCAUAGAUACAUGAAUAGAGGGAGUUCUAAGCUAUAAAAGGUGUUCCUGUUUUGUUGCAGUUUUUUGUGAACACGAGCAGUUCUGGCAUAAGUCCAUGGACCACAGUUUGAGAACCUUUGCUCUAAAGUCUAAACCACAGUCUCUGUUGGAAAGUGGACGUAAGUAGUAAAUAAUCGUUUAUACAGAUAUUUUUUCCGAAGGGACACAUCUAAUUUGCACUGCAAAAUUUAUCACAUAAUCAAAUGCUUUUCAAGUUAGGAUUUUAUUAAUACUUUUCUUAAAAUUAAUAUAUCUUUUGUUUCCGUUUUCCUUCUGCUACCCCACAAUUACUUACUGAAUACUACCAAGUAUUUGGCAUCGUGCUAGAUACUACUAAGGAUAUUAAGGUAAAUGAUACUCAAUUCCUUCUCUGCCAUUAGUCUCUCAUUGUUGUCCAAGAUUUCCAGUAGUGACACCAUGGAGGACAUGGUUCUUAAGGGUCUUCAGAAACCUUUGCCAGGCUAAUGAGCCAAGAAAUCACUUUGGCCUACAUCCUCUUAAUGUAUUUUAUGUGAAAUACAUUAGUUGCUUCCUUCCCACAAACAAAAGAAAAUGGAGAAAUUAGAGAAUGCUGAUUUAUAUAUUUAAAAGGUACUGUAUAUCACAUAAUUUUAAAAAUGAAAAACAUGUUUUAUGCAUAUGAAGUAUAAAGUGAUUCACAUAAAUUCAUGUUAUGACAGAACCUUUCAGGAAUACAUCACUUUGUAAAAUAAGAUAAGCCUAUAUGAAGGUUAUUGUUGCUUGGAAGAAAUUUUUACUUUUUUUUUGUUUUUUGAAUAGCUGUCUUGUUAGCAUCUGUCUUUUAAGCUGAAAAAUGUCCUAAGUAUUUUUUCUCCUAAUGUACACCAUGGACUUUUCUGGUUGUAGUUUUGAGAUACACGGCAUAGGGUGACAGAUAGUGAUGUGUGUUAGUUUUACUCACAAAUGUUUAAAAAAAUAUUUUCUGUUUUAGAAAGAUGAGAUCCUUAGAAAUAGGGCCAUGAAUAGUGCAUAAGGUCUCUUUGUACAAAUUAGAAAAAGGCACUCCUUCCUUAAAAAGUAUUACUACUGUCUGCCAGAAAAAGUAUCACAGUAAACAUACGAAUUUAUGGUAUUUACAAUUAAGAAUGGCCCUCUAGUAUGUUGUGUACUGAACAGCCUACCUAACUGUAUGUAAAUGGUGGCCCUGCUUGGGAGCCAUUUCCUUUAUCCUUUAAUAUUCUCUUUGUGUAAAAUGGGAAUGAUAACUAAUACAUGAUAGCAAAUGAUGUAAAAUAUCUCUCUAUUUAGAAGGUAUUAUGUCCAGUUAUUGAUAUCUGUUAGCCAAAUGUGUUUAAAAUUAAAGUCAAUGAAAUUUUUGAAA
This is a long non-coding RNA of Symphalangus syndactylus (siamang), 3823 nucleotides long. RefSeq lists it as uncharacterized. Lineage: Eukaryota; Metazoa; Chordata; Mammalia; Primates; Hylobatidae. The record is from RefSeq and is a predicted model, not a curated record.